UCUUGGUUUGUUCUCUUCUUAUUUUACUAAAAAGACAAUGAGGAUAUCAAAGAAAGAGUUGAGGAGCCACUCAUCGUCUGAGUCCACCUGAAGGCCUCUCCAUACUCGAGAAUGAUUUCAUGCGACGUGGACCAGGAUCAGUCAUGACGGAUACUUUGCACAUGACCUGACCUGUAUACUGCUGCCUUAAAUGCACUUGAAACCUCAUCGGCUGGACUGGAUCCAGCUGCGAACUCAGAUUAAAUUAAAUGAUCUACUAUCGAUGGGUUAAAUCCUGUUGAAAGAAAGAAAGCAAAACAAGAGGUGGAAUUCUGCGUGUUUGUUAUGGAUCUGUUGUUUUCAGGUUUUGAGUUGGUCUUCAUCAUCAUUGCUUUCACUAUUAUGUGCUUAUUUGGCCUGGCUGCUGUCUACACAUACAAUACAAAUCGUCAAGAUGACUACAUUCAAACAGAACAGAAGAAAAUACAACAAAAGAGUAACUCAAUGAAGAAACAGCGAGGCAUUACCAAAACCAAUCAGGAGCUACCAUGAACACACAAACAAACAGAUUUCAUAUAAAUACAGAAUCCUUCUGUUGGUUCUCAUUGAAUUAAAAAGCCUGGUGCACCAAAUGCAGCUAACCACUGUGUGAAGAUCUCUAACACUGAAAAUGGACUCGCUGUCGAGCCCAUCUUUAGGUUGACCCUCAAAACCAGCUGUCUCUGAUUGGCUUGAAUGCAUGACCCUAUUUAUUAACCAGUGAAGAAAGGCAAAGAGGAUUUAUUGAAAUCGAAACCCCUCCCCUUUCCCCACCUAAAUCUACUUAUCAUUUGUAAUAUAAUGAUUUAAAUCCUGUCUGGAGCAGCUUUUAUUUUUUCACACAGCUUAUGCUUUGGUGGAUAAACUGCUUCUAAAGUUUCUGGGUGGUGGUGGCCAUUGGCAAUAAAAAUAGGAAAAUAUAUUGUUGAAUGUAUAUUGUGCAAAUAUUUUAUACAUAUAGUAUAUUUAUAGUGAUGUUGUACUAUUUAUAUAAUGCAUUUUGUUUGUAUAUUAUUUAUUUUUCCACAAGUAUUUUUGGCUUUUAUUUAUAUAUUACAAAAUAUGAACAUUGUCCAGAAUAUAUAUAAAUAUAUAUGAAUACAUUUUCUGUUAUAAUCUGUCCCUUUUGCUGUGCCCUAACACAAGGCAUUUAACACCACUGUGCUGCAGGAUAGCUACCUUAUAGUCUUCUGUAAUUUACAUUGCACAAAAAGAUCUGCUAACUAAGUGCUAACUUUGGAUUAUGGCAUUAAGAUACACUUAUCUGGAUCUGGAGAAGAUUUUACAUUGUUUCUAAUUAUGUAUGGAAAGUGAGGUUACAGUGUCCUUUUUCAAGACCAUGUGCGCUGAAUGUUAAACAGCUACUUAAUUUCAAGUUUAACAGUUAGAAAGGGGAAAAAGUUCACAAAAUAUCACUGUUCACUUACAUGAUUCACAUAUUUAAACUAUACUGUGUUAAAUUCCAUGCAUCUUCAUUGAUAAAAUCGACAUUAUACAGAAAAGUAAGACUUCCAUUGUCAUUUCUGCUGUAAACAUGGUAACAGAGCAUGGGGCGCCCUCUACUGGUGAUUAGCAAAACCAGCAAAUCGCUAAUCAUGCACGCUAAUUCUCAAUAACUUUCUCAAAAAUUCAUUCUCUCCUUACUUUCCUCAAUAGUGAUAUUCCUUAAUGCAGAGAAAUACAAGCAUGUACAUAAUAUUUAGUUACCAAUCUGAGACAAAACUAAA
This is a long non-coding RNA of Carassius auratus (goldfish), 1745 nucleotides long. RefSeq lists it as uncharacterized. The transcript has 4 exons. NCBI's taxonomy places the organism in Eukaryota, Metazoa, Chordata, Actinopteri, Cypriniformes, Cyprinidae. The record is from RefSeq and is a predicted model, not a curated record.